GAAUUUUGGACAAUGGGCGAAAGCCUUAUCCAGCAAUGCCGCGUGCAGGAUGAAGGCCUUCGGGUUGUAAACUGCUUUUGUACGGAACGAAAAGCUUUGGGUUAAUACCCUGUAGUCAUGCCGGUCACGUAAGAAUAAGCACCGGCUAAAUACAUGCCAGCAGCCGCGGUAAUACGAAGGGUGCAAGCGUUAAUCGGAAUUACUGGGAUUAAAGCGUGCGCAGGCGGGUGUGAAAGACAGAGGUGAAAUCCCCGGGCUCAACCUGGGAACUGCCUUUGUGACUGCAAGGCUAGAGUACGGCAGAGGGGGGUGGAAUUCCGCGUGUAGCAGUGAAAUGCGUAGAUAUGCGGAGGAACACCGAUGGCGAAGGCAACCCCCUGGGCCUGUACUGACGCUCAUGCACGAAAGCGUGGGGAGCAAACA
Molecule: ribosomal RNA, 423 nt
Filed under: uncultured bacterium
Lineage: Bacteria
Description: partial 16S ribosomal RNA
Rfam family: Bacterial small subunit ribosomal RNA
Source: RNAcentral